Molecule: long non-coding RNA, 502 nt
Filed under: Neodiprion pinetum (white pine sawfly)
Lineage: Eukaryota; Metazoa; Arthropoda; Insecta; Hymenoptera; Diprionidae
Description: uncharacterized LOC124222903
Source: RNAcentral
AAACUACGACGCAAAGAUUUUUUUGAGACAUCUACCAACGAACACGGCUAUUUUCUUUAAAGGUGAACCAGUGCAAUGCCAUGACUGCACAAACACCUCUCGGUGGUUUCAAACAGUGCGGCAGGACGCGAAUUGGGAAAGGAAAGGUUGGACGAUGCCUACCUUCCAACCAAAACUAUUCUGAUUAUAAAACACCAUUCAAUCACUGAUGUGUCUCGCAACAGCACUCUACAAAUGUUACGUGAAAUCCAAUAUGGCCACAUGAACUUUUACUAUUACGCGCUUUCAAUGAGACAAGAAUGAAAUGUUGGUCUAUCGAGCUCAGGCAGAAAAUGGUCGACUACUACUUGAUCGUAAAUUGAGUUUAUGGCAAUGCGUUCAGGUGGCUGCUACGAAGACGCAAAAGUGAUUCAACACUCCUAGAUUAGCUACUAAAUUUUCAAAAACUCUUUAAUCAAGAGAAAUCUGUAUCAAGAAAUAAAGUAAAGACACUUCGAAAGUU